RNAcentral lists this ribosomal RNA (378 nucleotides) under uncultured bacterium. RNAcentral describes it as "bacterial SSU rRNA". It matches the Rfam family "Bacterial small subunit ribosomal RNA", at positions 28 to 396 of the family's 1533-position model. The record is from RNAcentral.
GACGAACGCUGGCGGCGUGCCUAACACAUGCAAGUCGUACGGGACGAGAGGGGCAACUCUUUCGUUCAGUGGCAGACGGGUGCGUAACACGUGAGGAACUUGUCCAACGGUGGGGGAUAGCCGGCCCAACGGCCGGGGUAAUACCGCGUACGCUCGUUUGGAGGCAUCUCCGAGCGAGGAAAGCAGCCGCAAGGUUGCGCCGAUGGAGAGUCUCGCGGCCUAUCAGCUAGUUGGCGGGGUCACGGCCCACCAAGGCAACGACGGGUAGCUGGUCUGAGAGGAUGAUCAGCCACAUUGGGACUGAGACACGGCCCAGACUCCUACGGGAGGCAGCAGUGGGGAAUAUUGCGCAAUGGCCGCAAGGCUGACGCAGCGACG